GUAACUGCUUUAUUUUAUUAUUUCUCAUAAAUGCCAACUUUGAGACUGCCUCACCAACAGGAGAUACACACGAUUGAAAAUUUGAAACAUGGCACACAAAACCAUGUGACUUGCUUGAAGGUCUCAAGUUUCAAUUCCUCUCUAAAAUAAUUGCAUUUCAUGGACACCCUAACAAAAGAUUAGAUAUAUCACAUGACUACAGGAAGAGAGAGAUCUACACCAAUGCUUCCCAUCAAAGGAAGAAUUUACAAUUACAACUAUAAAUAAAAACCCAUUAAGAUAAACACCAUUUUUCAUUUAGCUAUUCACUUUUCUUUAUUCACUAUCCGAUGAAUUUCCUCUGGCUUUUCAGCUACCCCCACCAGGGUACAGACAACCAUUGUAACCUACAAGGGAGCAAAAUUCAGAUGAGCAGCCAAAAUAAACAGGAAAUGCUAAUAUGAGAGGAAGAUGUUUAAGCUUAUGAUUAAUCCAACCUAAACACAGCUAAUAAAACAUAAUUCCACAAAAAUGAAAUUAUAUUUUGGGUGUUGGUGGGGACAUUUACCCUAUAAAGUUGUCAUAAAAAUCAAAAGCUGAUAAGCUUUUGCAUUCUAAUAAUGGUGAUUCUAAUCAAAUAAAGGGAACAAUACUUAAAUUCUAUUCUUAUCAUCUCUUUCAUAAAGUUAUAUUCCCAUUAUGAAAGAGCCGGCCAUUAAUGAUUACCAAAAUUAUUCAUUCCUAACCGACAGGAUGUGCACAUAUGGCCACUGUUUCAUUGUAGGAAUUGUAUAAACCAAAAAGAGAGCUGAAGUUAAAGAAAGAUUACUGGGAUUUUUUGAUGUGAGUGCAGCCGUCUGCGAGAAAUCGCAAUUCCAUGAAUUCUUGCCUGAAUUUUGGUAGUAUAAAUUCAUGGCAUAAGCAGCAUGUGAAACUACAGUAUUUGGAUCAAAACAUGCUCCUCCUGGUUGAAUUGGGCUGCAAUCUAUGCCUUGACCA
Molecule: unclassified non-coding RNA, 978 nt
Filed under: Hevea brasiliensis (rubber tree)
Lineage: Eukaryota; Viridiplantae; Streptophyta; Magnoliopsida; Malpighiales; Euphorbiaceae
Source: RNAcentral